AAAAUUUAACUGCUGUGUUGGUGGUUUCGUUUUCGGUAGCAAAUGCCUUAGUCUAUCUGGAGAAGGUGUCUACUAGUACUAGAAGGUAUUUGUACUUAGCCUGGUGUGGUUUGACUUCUCUAAAGUCAAUUUCUUACUUUUUUCUUGGCGAGUUUUUUCAGAGACAGUGGUCUGGGCUGUGUUUAGGACUUUGUUUGGCAUUUACUUGGGCGCAGGUUGUGCACUGGAGAGCUGCUUAAUCUGUUAGGCUUUGAAGACGGGGGAUCUUAAAAUGGCUCUGGAGGAGCUGAGGUAGCUUUGCUCUUCUUAAAUGGGUGGUAGACUGUAGGUAACUGAUUAACGUUUCUUUAAGAGUUCAGGGUAUGAAGAUUCUAAAGUCUGGAAGAAUCUACUAACUUUCCUGAUUUUUAUUGGCUCUGAGAUCCGAAGCCAGUUUUUUUUGUUGUUGUUGUUGAGUAUACGGGAUUGUCAGGCAGAUCUGGCUGUGGAAAGGAGACUGUGGGCAGCAAGUUUAGAGGCGUGACUGAAAGUCGCGCUGAGACCUGAGCUGCUGAAUCAGGUUUCUGGUUACUAUGGGCCACGGCCAUGUUUUCUUUUUGAUGUCCUUUGCAGUGGAUCACAGCUACCUGCUGAGAAACUCCUGGAGGGCAGAGGCAUGCCUGCCAUCUUCAUCAUUGCAUUACCACCACCCAACACUAUCGGGGGACCUGCCCUGAUAAUCAGCCUGCAAACAGUAAGAAGAUUCCCCUCUCUUUCUCAGUGGAUGUAAAGCAGUGAUUCUGCAUAAAUGUAUCAACCCUAUAGCUCAACUCCUUCUGGAGUGGACUUCCCCUAGACCUGGAGAGCGAGUCCUGCCUAGCGUACACGGCCUGAAGUUCGAGAUCUCUUCCAAUUCAGGUCAACAAGAAAACUCAAUUCCUCUUCAGAAAGUUAAGUGACUUAAAGAUUACAUAAGGGCUAAGAAGACAAGCCAGCUAAGCAUGUUCAAGACCGGGCUUUUUGAAACUGCAGUAAUUGAUCAUAACGAGACGGGGUUUCACCAUGUUGCCCAGGCUCGUCUAGAAGUCCUGGGCUGAAGCGAUCCGACCGCCUCCCAAAGUGCUGGGAUUACAGGAGUGAGCCAUCUCGCCCAGCCGGAAAAGUAUUUUUUGAUCUUAAAAUCUUACGUGGAAUGAAAGUGAACAAUGAGGCAAUGAAAGUGGAAGUUUCUCUUAAGCAAAUACAGAGGUCAACCAUUCCAGCUUUCUAAGGUACUGGUAAUACUCUUUCGUCUAUUUUAUUUUAUGGCAUAAUUUUAAGACUCCUGUGAGCUAUGUCUUUAGGGGAAGUUUGGGAGGGACAGGCAGAGUGUCAAUACUGAAUUAACAUCAGUUUAAUUUUCGCCCAUGGUUAUCUGGGCCUCAUUCCAGCAUUAAGACUUUCAGAAAAAACAUUGAGAUAAAGCUGGCUUUUUAUACCAAUAGGUGGCAGUAUUGCUUUGAAACAAACGACAGCAACGACACCGUACUGUCCCAUUUUAAGAAACUUCUAGAUCCAUUGCAUUUCUAAAAUCUUACACUUUUAUUAGACCUCGACUUUUUAAUUUAAUUUUAUUUGUAUUUAUUUAUUUAUUUAUUUAUGUAUUUGGAGACAGGGUCUCGCUCUGUCCCCCAGGCUGGAGUGCAGUGGCGCGAUCUCUGCUCACUGCAACCUCUGCCUCCCGGGUUCAAGCAAUUCUCCUACCUCAGCCUCCGGAGAAGCUGGGAUUACAGGCAUGCACCACCACACUCGGCUAACUUUUUGUAUUUUAGUAGAGAUGGGGUUUCACCGUAUUGCCCAGGCUAGUCUAGAAGUCCUGAGCUCAGGCAAUCCGUCCGCCUCGACCUCCCAAAGGCUAGGAUUACAGCAUGAGCCUCCGCGCCCGGCCUUUUUUUUGACCGUCUGGUGGCUUUGUCUCCCAGGUUGGAGUGCAGUGGCGCCAUCAUAGCUCACUGCAGCUUUGACCUCCCGGGCUCAAAUGAUCCUCCCACCUCAGCCUCCCGAGUAGCUGGGACCACAGGCACACGCCACCAUGCCCAGCUUCUAGGCUUCAACAUGCCCCCCAAAAUGACAGUGGAAUAGCCAGAUGCGGUGGUGCCAGCCUGUAGUCCCAGCUACUUGGGGGACUGAGGUGAGAAGAUCGCUCACCAGGAGGUCGAGGCUCCAGUUGGCUGAUUGUGCCACUGGGUGACAGAGCCAGAACUUGUCUCAAAAAACAAAACGAAACAAAAGUGGAUUAAAUAAAGCACCAACGUGGUAUUUGAAGAAAAUUAAAAAGGACUCACCAAUAUCACCCGUUCAUUCAGAGCCUUGCCUUUGGAAGAAACACACACUCAUUUAUCUUCCCCCAGGAAGGCCUCUUUCCUAUCAAGUAAACCUACAGUGAUGAUUAAUGCAGAAAAACAGGCCCCGUGUUGCAAAUGAUAAGUUUGCUUCUCUGAGAACCUCCAGAUUAGGUUACAUUCAAUUCACUAAUCUAGUCUCCAGCCUGGCAAAAAUUUACUGUGAAAACGUCUUCAAGUAAGUGUCUUUUUUACACUGACUGUUGGGAUAGGACUGGAAUCAGCGAUCACAAUUUGAUCCUAAUUUGUUGAUGUUCCCUUAAUUUUUAAAAAUUUUUGCAUGUACAUGCACUCAUGUAACCAUCACACUGAUUAAAAUAUAGAAUAUUUCUAGUACCUAAGAAGGUUUCCUAUGCUCGCUCAAACUUUAAAAUCAGAAAAAAAUAUAUUUCUCAAUUUGUGUGUUUAAAACCAAA
This is a long non-coding RNA of Gorilla gorilla gorilla (western lowland gorilla), 2776 nucleotides long. RefSeq lists it as uncharacterized. The transcript is spliced from 5 exons. Lineage: Eukaryota; Metazoa; Chordata; Mammalia; Primates; Hominidae. The record is from RefSeq and is a predicted model, not a curated record.